UGGGGAAUUUUGGACAAUGGGCGAAAGCCUGAUCCAGCAAUGCCGCGUGUGUGAAGAAGGCCUUCGGGUUGUAAAGCACUUUUGUCCGGAAAGAAAUCCUUGGCUCUAAUACAGUCGGGGGAUGACGGUACCGGAAGAAUAAGCACCGGCUAACUACGUGCCAGCAGCCGCGGUAAUACGUAGGGUGCAAGCGUUAAUCGGAAUUACUGGGCGUAAAGCGUGCGCAGGCGGUUUGCUAAGCCGAUGUGAAAUCCCCGGGCUCAACCUGGGAACUGCAUUGGGUGACUGGCAGGCUAGAGUAUGGCAGAGGGGGGUAGAAUUCCACGUGUAGCAGUGAAAUGCGUAGAGAUGUGGAGGAAUACCGAUGGCGAAGGCAGCCCCCUGGGCCAAUACUGACGCUCAUGCACGAAAGCGUGGGGAGCAAACAGGAUUAGAUACCCUGGUAGUCCACGCCCUAAACGAUGUCAACUAGUUGUUGGGGACUUCAUUUUCCUUAGUAACGUAGCUAACGCGUGAAGUUGACCGCCUGGGGAGUACGGUCGCAAGAUUAAAACUCAAAGGAAUUGACGGGGUCAUAGCUGUUUCCU
Molecule: ribosomal RNA, 587 nt
Filed under: uncultured bacterium
Lineage: Bacteria
Description: partial 16S ribosomal RNA
Rfam family: Bacterial small subunit ribosomal RNA
Source: RNAcentral